GUCGAUCUGGCUCAGGAGACGCGUCGGCGGCUAACACAAGCAAUCAACGGAUCCCGGGGUUCGCUUCCGGUGAGAGCGCGAACGGGUGAGUAAUGCGGGCCGACUUGCCCCAUACACCGGAAUAGCUCCAGGAAACGGGUGGUAAUGCCGGAUGCUCCGGUUGGAUGCAAGUCCUCCGGGGAAAGAUUCUAUCGGUAUGGGAUGGGGUCGCGUCCUAUCAGCUUGAUGGCGGGGAACGGCCCACCAUGGCUUCGACGGGUAGCCGGCCUGAGAGGGCGACCGGCCACAUUGGGACUGAGAUACGGCCCAGACUCCUACGGGAGGCAGCAGUGGGGAAUAUUGCACAAUGGGCGCAAGCCUGAUGCAGCGACGCCGCGUGCGGGAUGGAGGCCUUCGGGUUGUAAACCGCUUUUGAUCGGGAGCAAGCCCUUCGGGGUGAGUGUACCUUUCGAAUAAGCACCGGCUAACUACGUGCCAGCAGCCGCGGUAAUACGUAGGGUGCAAGCGUUAUCCGGAAUUAUUGGGCGUAAAGGGCUCGUAGGCGGUUCGUCGCGUCCGGUGUGAAAGCCCAUCGCUUAACGGUGGGUCUGCGCCGGGUACGGGCGGGCUGGAGUGCGGUAGGGGAGACUGGAAUUCCCGGUGUAACGGUGGAAUGUGUAGAUAUCGGGAAGAACACCAAUGGCGAAGGCAGGUCUCUGGGCCGUCACUGACGCUGAGGAGCGAAAGCGUGGGGAGCGAACAGGAUUAGAUACCCUGGUAGUCCACGCCGUAAACGGUGGAUGCUGGAUGUGGGGCCCGUUCCACGGGUUCCGUGUCGGAGCUAACGCGUUAAGCAUCCCGCCUGGGGAGUACGGCCGCAAGGCUAAAACUCAAAGAAAUUGACGGGGGCCCGCACAAGCGGCGGAGCAUGCGGAUUAAUUCGAUGCAACGCGAAGAACCUUACCUGGGCUUGACAUGUUCCCGACAGCCGUAGAGAUAUGGCCUCCCUUCGGGGCGGGUUCACAGGUGGUGCAUGGUCGUCGUCAGCUCGUGUCGUGAGAUGUU
Molecule: ribosomal RNA, 1044 nt
Filed under: human gut metagenome
Description: bacterial SSU rRNA
Rfam family: Bacterial small subunit ribosomal RNA
Source: RNAcentral